This 254-nucleotide ribosomal RNA is filed under the name uncultured bacterium. RNAcentral's name for it is "partial 16S ribosomal RNA". It matches the Rfam family "Bacterial small subunit ribosomal RNA", at positions 524 to 776 of the family's 1533-position model. The record is from RNAcentral.
CACGUAGGGGGCGAGCGUUGUCCGGAUUUAUUGGGCGUAAAGAGCUCGUAGGCGGCUCAGUAAGUCAGGUGUGAAAACUCCAGGCUCAACCUGGAGACGCCACCUGAUACUGCUGUGGCUAGAGUCCGGUAGGGGAGAAUGGAAUUCCUGGUGUAGCGGUGAAAUGCGCAGAUAUCAGGAGGAACACCAGUGGCGAAGGCGGUGCUCUGGGCCGGAACUGACGCUGAGGAGCGAAAGCGUGGGGAGCAAACAGG